CAACCUGCCUAUAACUAGGGAAUAACCUUGCGAAAGUAAGACUAAUACCCUAUGAUUUCCUUUGAUGGCAUCAGAUUAGGAAUAAAGAUCUAUCGGUUAUAGAUGGGGAUGCGUCUGAUUAGCUUGUUGGCGGGGUAACGGCCCACCAAGGCGACGAUCAGUAGGGGUUCUGAGAGGAAGGUCCCCCACAUUGGAACUGAGACACGGUCCAAACUCCUACGGGAGGCAGCAGUGAGGAAUAUUGGUCAAUGGGCGAGAGCCUGAACCAGCCAAGUAGCGUGCAGGAUGACGGCCCUAUGGGUUGUAAACUGCUUUUAUAAGGGAAUAAAGUGAGUCUCGUGAGACUUUUUGCAUGUACCUUAUGAAUAAGGACCGGCUAAUUCCGUGCCAGCAGCCGCGGUAAUACGGAAGGUCCGGGCGUUAUCCGGAUUUAUUGGGUUUAAAGGGAGCGUAGGCCGGAGAUUAAGCGUGUUGUGAAAUGUAGACGCUCAACGUCUGCACUGCAGCGCGAACUGGUUUCCUUGAGUACGCACAAAGUGGGCGGAAUUCGUGGUGUAGCGGUGAAAUGCUUAGAUAUCACGAAGAACUCCGAUUG
RNAcentral lists this ribosomal RNA (595 nucleotides) under uncultured Bacteroidota bacterium. RNAcentral describes it as "bacterial SSU rRNA". It matches the Rfam family "Bacterial small subunit ribosomal RNA", at positions 122 to 715 of the family's 1533-position model. Lineage: Bacteria; Pseudomonadati; Bacteroidota. The record is from RNAcentral.